ACAACUCUGAGAUAGCACUUCUGUAGUAAGGGAUUUUGCAAGCUGACAGCAAGAGAUCCUGGAGACCAACAUUCCACACAGAACUCUCAGAAGCUGGGGAACUGAAACACACAGGCAGUUGCUGGACACAGUUGGUGAAUUCUGGAAAGAUGGAGAGUCUGCUGUUUUUCUCUAGCAGUUAGGAAAAGUCCAGAGAUUUUCUGUUUGGUAUUUCUGGGGUGGACCCAAAGAGCCAGUGAUUCCCUCUUCUUUGACUUUCUUGAUAUUCUGGCUGUUCCUGCCUGUUGCUGCUACAGAGAAGUGGAUUUCAACAAUACCGAUU
Molecule: long non-coding RNA, 322 nt
Filed under: Monodelphis domestica (gray short-tailed opossum)
Lineage: Eukaryota; Metazoa; Chordata; Mammalia; Didelphimorphia; Didelphidae
Description: lncRNA (ENSMODG00000046992.1)
Source: RNAcentral